Non-coding RNA from Peromyscus maniculatus bairdii (prairie deer mouse), 1232 nucleotides. NCBI's taxonomy places the organism in Eukaryota, Metazoa, Chordata, Mammalia, Rodentia, Cricetidae. The record is from RefSeq and is a predicted model, not a curated record.
AUGGAAACCUCAGCAGCGGGUUCAAACCAUGUUUUCAUAUCUCGUUUGCAGGGGCGGGGAAGGCGCACAGGCUGGGUUUUCAGCAUCCACUUUCCCCCCAAAGUUCACCUUGUAUUUCCAGGAAGACAUUCAGGAGCAUUGCAGGGGUACACGAUAUCUUCCAAGAGUUAGAAAAAGACCCCGGCUUAGCAGGACAAUGCUGUAGAUACCCCCUUGUCGCUUCCCCUCACCCCAGAUGCUCAGCGCCACCUGUGUCUAUGACCUUAGCCUGUCCCCACAGUUCUGCCCAGCUCCAUCUGUCCUAGGAAGAGGCUGUGUAGGCUGCAGAAAGAUGUCCAGCCCCAAGCCAUGGAUGCCCUGUGAGCACCCAAUUUCAGCACGUGGAGCCUACUGGAGGUCAGCUGGCUCUUCCAGCCUCAUGACCUGAUGUCAAUGAGAAAGGAGGUGGGCGCUGCUAUUUUCCCCACGUUGUAGCCAACAAACCCGAAGCACCAAGAAGUUAAACUUGCCCAAACGGAAGACGAAGGACAUGUGUUCUUAGAAGAGUCCUACUCUCCGGAAUGCUGGGAUUCCAGGUGCAUGCCUUUGCAUCCAGCAAUGUGGAAGGACCAGUUUGGUUGGGUUGGGUGGAUGAAGACAAAGCAACGGCCAGCGAGGUCAUUCUGCGAUGUUUCUAAGGACUGACAGCCAACCCCACAGCCACUUGCCAGAGGAAGAGACCAAACGUCAGGGCCACUGCCAACGAGUGAAACCCCAAAUACAACAGAACACAGCCCCAGAGCCCUCCUUCCAAGGUUCUCAGUAGCCCAGCAAGGAGGGGGGACACAUUCCUACUGAAAAGAGGACAAAACAGAGGCCAGAGGCGCCUUGCUGGAGUCCACCCGGCUUCCUUCUCUUGAAGAUGGACAGCUGUGUGUCCCUGAUGAUCCUGGGUGAUGGAAGCCCUCACCCCUUCCUCUCAUUUGGACCCACGAAGCCUCUUUCCACCCCAGGGUCUCAAGAGUCUUCACAACCAGAACAUCUCUGCCCUCACCCUCUCUGCCUCUGGCCAGCUCUGCCAGCCACCAGGUUCCCAGGGAAAUGCCCAGAAGGCACCCCUCAGCCCCAGCAUAGCUUGAGGUUCCCAUCCAACCUCACAGUCUCUCUGGCCUUUGGGACACUUUCCCCAACUGUACUUGACAACUACAACAAUAGUUACUGUGUAUUUCGUUGUGUCUCGUGUUCUUCUUGCU